GUGCUCACUUCGACAGCACAUAUACUAAAAUUGGUACAAUACAGAGAAGAUUAGCAUGGCCCCUGCACAAGGAUAUCACGCAAAUUCAUGAAGUGUUCCAUAUUUUU
This is a small nuclear RNA of Pongo abelii (Sumatran orangutan), 107 nucleotides long. The record is from Ensembl. NCBI's taxonomy places the organism in Eukaryota, Metazoa, Chordata, Mammalia, Primates, Hominidae.